UACGGAGGGUGCAAGCGUUAAUCGGAAUUACUGGGCGUAAAGCGUACGCAGGCGGUCAUGUAAGUCAGAUGUGAAAGCCCCGGGCUUAACUUGGGAAUUGCAUUUGAAACUGGUUUCCUAGAGUCUUGUAGAGGGGGGUAGAAUUCCAGGUGUAGCGGUGAAAUGCGUAGAGAUGUGGAGGAAUACCGGUGGCGAAGGCGGCCCCCUGGACAAAGACUGACGCUCAGGUGCGAAAGCGUGGGGAGCAAACAGG
Molecule: ribosomal RNA, 253 nt
Filed under: uncultured bacterium
Lineage: Bacteria
Description: partial 16S ribosomal RNA
Rfam family: Bacterial small subunit ribosomal RNA
Source: RNAcentral